Molecule: ribosomal RNA, 649 nt
Filed under: Euphorbia albomarginata
Lineage: Eukaryota; Viridiplantae; Streptophyta; Magnoliopsida; Malpighiales; Euphorbiaceae
Description: eukaryotic LSU rRNA
Rfam family: 5.8S ribosomal RNA (bases 266-421)
Source: RNAcentral
UCGAAACCUGCCUAGCAGAACGACCAGAGAACGUGUUCAUUAAACGAGGGGUCCAGAGCAGGUUUUCCCUGCAUUGGCCCUUCAUAAUGCCCUUACCGAGGGAUUAGGGUGUGUCGGCCUGUCCUUCCCCUGACGUGCCUCGGUAGCGGCUUUUUAACAAACCCCCGGCGCGGAAAGCGCCAAGGAAUUGCAAAUAAAAAGAUCGGCCACCCUGUGUUCUGGAAACAGUUCAACGGGGAUGCGCCGUGAUUUGAGAAAUCUAAACGACUCUCGGCAACGGAUAUCUCGGCUCUCGCAUCGAUGAAGAACGCAGCGAAAUGCGAUACUUGGUGUGAAUUGCAGGAUCCCGUGAACCAUCGAGUUUUUGAACGCAAGUUGCGCCCAAAGCCUUUUGGCCGAGGGCACGUCUGCCUGGGUGUCACUCAAUCGUCGCUCAACCCUCUCCAAAUUUAAAAGUGGAGUGAGAUUUGGGCGGAAGAUGGCUUCCCGUCUGCUCUUUGCAUGCGGUUGGCCCAAAUGUCCGGUCCUCGGCAUCGCCGCCAUGGCAAUCGGUGGUUGUACGACCCUCGCUAUGCGCUGUGAGCGAUCCGGUGCUGGAGUGACCUACAAGGCCCCGAAGCGUUACUGAUGAAACGCUCGCAAUGCGACC